GACGAACGCUGGCGGCGCGCCUAACACAUGCAAGUCGAACGAGCGAGAGAGAGCUUGCUUUCUUGAGCGAGUGGCGAACGGGUGAGUAACGCGUGAGGAACCUGCCUCAAAGAGGGGGACAACAGUUGGAAACGACUGCUAAUACCGCAUAAGCCCACGGUGCCGCAUGGCACAGAGGGAAAAGGAGCAAUCCGCUUUGAGAUGGCCUCGCGUCCGAUUAGCUAGUUGGUGAGGUAACGGCCCACCAAGGCGACGAUCGGUAGCCGGACUGAGAGGUUGAACGGCCACAUUGGGACUGAGACACGGCCCAGACUCCUACGGGAGGCAGCAGUGGGGAAUAUUGCACAAUGGGGGAAACCCUGAUGCAGCGACGCCGCGUGGAGGAAGAAGGUCUUCGGAUUGUAAACUCCUGUUGUUGGGGAAGAUAAUGACGGUACCCAACAAGGAAGUGACGGCUAGCUACGUG
RNAcentral lists this ribosomal RNA (466 nucleotides) under uncultured bacterium. RNAcentral's name for it is "partial 16S ribosomal RNA". It matches the Rfam family "Bacterial small subunit ribosomal RNA", at positions 28 to 507 of the family's 1533-position model. The record is from RNAcentral.